AAAUUUAUUGUACCCAUAUCAAGUUACCAAUCCACCCUUCUCAGUGAAGAAUAGGUUCUACUAUGUGCUACAACACAAGGGUAUAAUGAUAUCAUAAAAUACAUUGUUAAAACAUCUCUCAAUAAAUUGUAGGGAAGUUUCCACCAUGAACUACUACAUCAUAACGCCACUGGCUGCACAGCUUGCUCUUCUCUUGAAAACUAUAACCGCCUAGUUAGGGGUGCCCUUGUCCUGCUGUAAGGUUUCCUUUAUGAAGUUCAAAACAGCAGAGGAUAACUCAGCUUGGUGUGAAGUGUAUGAAUGAUUAGCUCCUUCUAUGAUGUGUAACUUGUGAUUAGAUAUGAUCUUGGCAAACUCUAAUGCGUCUUCCACGGGAAUGAUUUCAUCAGCAGAUCCAUGAACAGUGAACACCCUGCAGUCUUUAUCAAUCAGAAGGCAAGCUUUGCGCAUAUUUGUAUUCAGGCGAUCCAUCAAACUUUCUAGAGUCACACGAUAGUUAACACUUCCUGUUUUGUUCUUAACAUCAAAGAAUCCUUCUUGCUUGAUCUUUUCCAUAAAGUCUUUCCCAAGCCGUUCCUCAAUGCCUCUAUUCAGAUCAUAACGACCAGAAACAUUGACUACCGAACUGAUAUCGCUAUAUUUUGAAGCAUAUAGGAGCACCAAA
RNAcentral lists this unclassified non-coding RNA (664 nucleotides) under Hevea brasiliensis (rubber tree). The record is from RNAcentral. Lineage: Eukaryota; Viridiplantae; Streptophyta; Magnoliopsida; Malpighiales; Euphorbiaceae.